Non-coding RNA from Ricinus communis (castor bean), 89 nucleotides. The record is from Rfam. NCBI's taxonomy places the organism in Eukaryota, Viridiplantae, Streptophyta, Magnoliopsida, Malpighiales, Euphorbiaceae.
AGUUCUGUGAUUAUAUGCCCUAAAUUAGGGCGAUAUACGCUAUUCUGAUUGAUUUACAUGAACAGAAAUCUAUUGAAAAUAUGAGAGCU